Non-coding RNA from Podarcis lilfordi (Lilford's wall lizard), 74 nucleotides. NCBI's taxonomy places the organism in Eukaryota, Metazoa, Chordata, Lepidosauria, Squamata, Lacertidae. The record is from the annotation of a GenBank genome assembly.
GUCUGGAUAGCUCAGUUGGUUAGAGCAUGGUGCUGAUAAUGCCAAGGAUGCAGGUUCAAUCCCUGUAUGGGACA